AUUGAACGCUGGCGGCAGGCCUAACACAUGCAAGUCGAACGGUAACAGAAAGCAGCUUGCUGCUUUGCUGACGAGUGGCGGACGGGUGAGUAAUGUCUGGGAAACUGCCUGAUGGAGGGGGAUAACUACUGGAAACGGUAGCUAAUACCGCAUAACGUCGCAAGACCAAAGAGGGGGACCUUCGGGCCUCUUGCCAUCGGAUGUGCCCAGAUGGGAUUAGCUAGUAGGUGGGGUAACGGCUCACCUAGGCGACGAUCCCUAGCUGGUCUGAGAGGAUGACCAGCCACACUGGAACUGAGACACGGUCCAGACUCCUACGGGAGGCAGCAGUGGGGAAUAUUGCGCAAUGGGCGCAAGCCUGAUGCAGCCAUGCCGCGUGUAUGAAGAAGGCGUUCGGGUUGUAAAGUACUUUCAGCGGGGAGGAAGGGAGUAAAGUUAAUACCUUGGCUCAUUGACGUUACCCGCAGAAGAAGCACCGGCUAACUCCGUG
This 490-nucleotide ribosomal RNA is filed under the name uncultured bacterium. RNAcentral describes it as "partial 16S ribosomal RNA". It matches the Rfam family "Bacterial small subunit ribosomal RNA", at positions 30 to 507 of the family's 1533-position model. The record is from RNAcentral.